UCUUCUUGUGGAGUCUUUCUUUUUUACUGAGAUAAGUAAACAGAGGAGGAGAAGUAAAACACAGCAAAGAGUAAAAGGGAAAAUAUUAAAACAAGAUUUGGAAUGUAGUGGGAAGAUUUAGUUCUAAUGAGGGCAUUGGAGCCAAAGUGUAUUUUAACCGAGGGGCAGCAUGUCGAAAUGCAUGAAGACUUCCUCACAUGGCCACAGUAAAGUCUGGGCAGAAAAGGUCCAAUGAAGUACAACACAGAUGGCAAUCCCCAA
This is a non-coding RNA of Chiloscyllium plagiosum (whitespotted bambooshark), 261 nucleotides long. NCBI's taxonomy places the organism in Eukaryota, Metazoa, Chordata, Chondrichthyes, Orectolobiformes, Hemiscylliidae. The record is from RefSeq and is a predicted model, not a curated record.